Molecule: ribosomal RNA, 222 nt
Filed under: Salmonella enterica
Lineage: Bacteria; Pseudomonadati; Pseudomonadota; Gammaproteobacteria; Enterobacterales; Enterobacteriaceae
Also listed under: 2 other names
Description: partial 23S ribosomal RNA
Rfam family: Bacterial large subunit ribosomal RNA
Source: RNAcentral
GGGUUGUGAGGUUAAGCGACUAAGCGUACACGGUGGAUGCCCUGGCAGUCAGAGGCGAUGAAGGACGUGCUAAUCUGCGAUAAGCGCCGGUAAGGUGAUAUGAACCGUUAUAACCGGCGAUUUCCGAAUGGGGAAACCCAGUGUGAUUCGUCACACUAUCAUUAACUGAAUCCAUAGGUUAAUGAGGCGAACCGGGGGAACUGAAACAUCUAAGUACCCCGA